GAUUGUGAAGCUAAUGACAAUCUAUUGUGAAGAGACAGUGUCCUUCAGAUUUUUCAAAGUCACAACAUAAUCGAUUGUGAGCUUAUGACAAUCGAUUGUGUUGAGGCAGUGACUUCCAGACUUUUUCAAAACUAUUAAAUAAUCGAUUGUGAGUUUAUAACAAUCGAUUGUCAAGAGGCAGUGUCUAAAAUUAUUUUCAAAAACUGAU
This 208-nucleotide long non-coding RNA is filed under the name Nicotiana benthamiana. Its description in RNAcentral is "long non-coding RNA (NBEN_LNC036051)". Lineage: Eukaryota; Viridiplantae; Streptophyta; Magnoliopsida; Solanales; Solanaceae. The record is from RNAcentral.